RNAcentral lists this unclassified non-coding RNA (74 nucleotides) under uncultured Alphaproteobacteria bacterium. RNAcentral's name for it is "SAM_alpha". The record is from RNAcentral. Lineage: Bacteria; Pseudomonadati; Pseudomonadota; Alphaproteobacteria.
CAUAACCACAGCGCCGAUUUGACUCACCAGAUUGCGGGCGCUUGAAAAAUGCAGCUAAAGCAGGAGAAGUUCCC